AUUCGGCUGACAACACGACGAUUGCUUCUUCUUUUCCAGCUCUCUUCACUCGGUUAUUUACAUUUUAAUGAACUCUUGAAUCGUGCUUAGCCAUCGUUUGUCAGUCAGUCCCUGCGUACGCAAGCAGUGCAGAGUUGAGAGUGGAUUGGUUGGUUUGUGGCAUUACGUUGCUACUUUUGCUAACUUUAUAGUGUUCGUCGGUUCCUGUUAUUAUCCAGCAACAAUUUUUUGCCAGUGAGCUCAAAGGUCACUUGAUUAUACAAUAGAUAAAAUGGCCCCCAAAGAACCAUCCCCGUUGGUCAAACUCUACCUCAUACUGUACAACGGUGCACAGGUCUUAGGAUGGUCCUACAUGCUUUACCAGCUCGUUGCAUACUACUCUUUCGACAACGGCAAUGGGAAACCUCUCUGGGAUUACCUAGGAACUACUGUGAUCAUUUUCCAAAAUGCAGCCGUCCUUGAGAUCAUACACGCAGCCACGCGAAUUGUUCCGAGCAACCCGGUCAUUACCACAUUCCAGGUCCUAUCCCGGGUGAUGGUCGUAUGCGGUGUCGUGCUGGCGACUCCGACAGGAAAGUCUUCCCCUGGCCUUCCGUUGGCUCUGCUCGCGUGGUCUAUCACCGAAAUCAUUCGGUACGGUUACUACGCCCUGAACCUGGUGAACGCGGUUCCGCACGUACUGAUCUUUCUUCGGUACACUACCUUCAUCGCACUCUACCCGAUCGGGGUGACGGGUGAGCUGUUGUGCUUCUACUGGGCCCAGAGUUACGUCCGCGAGUCGAAGCAGUGGAGCAUUGAGAUGCCCAAUUCGUACAACUUUACCUUUUCGUACUUCUACUUCCUGUGGCUGGUAAUGCUGCUGUACAUUCCACUGUUCCCGCAGAUGUAUCUGCACAUGUUUGCCCAGCGACGGAAAAUUUUGGGCGGCGGCAGCAAGCAGAAGGUGAAAUAGAACACUCGCAUGGUGUGGCCUGCUAAUUUACUCUGCAGGACAGGUCUCAACAGAUUCUUGUUUUACUCAAUGGUACAAGGCACUCUAGUAGAUGAAUAACGAAACUACGUUUAGUGUGGAAAGGUUUUUUUUUCAUUUAAGCAUCUAAACACGCCUUCUCUAUUUAAUGCUCAAAAUUCCAUACACACUCAAUUGCGACUUGAGAGCGUGACAGGUGGAGGAAAACGUAUGAAUGAAGAAUAAAAGAAUCUGCAGCGGAAGUUAAUGACGCACUUGACGCAAGCAACGAAUGAGCUACUGUUGACCUGUUAAAGUAUAAUAUGUUACAUGUUUUUUUCUCGAAUACUGUGCAA
RNA transcript from Topomyia yanbarensis, 1305 nucleotides. It is a transcript of the gene named very-long-chain (3R)-3-hydroxyacyl-CoA dehydratase 2, with no coding region annotated. The record is from RefSeq and is a predicted model, not a curated record. The transcript has 4 exons. Lineage: Eukaryota; Metazoa; Arthropoda; Insecta; Diptera; Culicidae.